This 253-nucleotide ribosomal RNA is filed under the name uncultured Legionella sp. RNAcentral's name for it is "partial 16S ribosomal RNA". It matches the Rfam family "Bacterial small subunit ribosomal RNA", at positions 524 to 776 of the family's 1533-position model. The record is from RNAcentral. Lineage: Bacteria; Pseudomonadati; Pseudomonadota; Gammaproteobacteria; Legionellales; Legionellaceae.
UACGGAGGGUGCGAGCGUUAAUCGGAAUUACUGGGCGUAAAGGGUGCGUAGGUGGUUGAGUAAGUUAGAUGUAAAAACCCUGGGCUUAACCUGGGACUGAGAUUUAAUACUGUUCAACUUGAGUAUGGGAGAGGGUAGUGGAAUUUCCGGUGUAGCGGUGAAAUGCGUAGAGAUCGGAAGGAACACCAGUGGCGAAGGCGGCUACCUGGCCUAAUACUGACACUGAGGCACGAAAGCGUGGGGAGCAAACAGG